RNAcentral lists this small nuclear RNA (21 nucleotides) under Arabidopsis thaliana (thale cress). Its description in RNAcentral is "snRNA_12644". The record is from RNAcentral. Lineage: Eukaryota; Viridiplantae; Streptophyta; Magnoliopsida; Brassicales; Brassicaceae.
UUCCCAAAAUCUUUUUCUCAA